CCUACGGGGAGCAGCAGUAGGGAAUAUUGCUCAAUGGGGGAAACCCUGAAGCAGCAACGCCGCGUGGAGGAUGAAGGUUUUAGGAUUGUAAACUCCUUUUGUUAGAGAAGAUAAUGACGGUAUCUAACGAAUAAGCACCGGCUAACUCCGUGCCAGCAGCCGCGGUAAUACGGAGGGUGCAAGCGUUACUCGGAAUCACUGGGCGGAAAGAGCGCGUAGGCGGGAUAGCAAGUCAGAUGUGAAAUCCUAUGGCUUAACCAUAGAACUGCAUUUGAAACUGUUAUUCUAGAGUAUGGGAGAGGUAGGUGGAAUUCUUGGUGUAGGGGUAAAAUCCGUAGAGAUCAAGAGGAAUACUCAUUGCGAAGGCGACCUGCUAGAACAUAACUGACGCUGAUGCGCGAAAGCGUGGGGAGCAAACAGGAUUAGAUACCCCGGUAGUC
This 440-nucleotide ribosomal RNA is filed under the name uncultured bacterium. Its description in RNAcentral is "partial 16S ribosomal RNA". It matches the Rfam family "Bacterial small subunit ribosomal RNA", at positions 338 to 795 of the family's 1533-position model. The record is from RNAcentral.